GUCGCGCUUGCCUAGAUGAUAAAGGCGUCGUCAGUGAAGAUGACAAAAGUUGCAGGUUCAAAUCCUGCCUGCGAUG
Non-coding RNA from Phthorimaea operculella (potato tuberworm), 76 nucleotides. The record is from the annotation of a GenBank genome assembly. NCBI's taxonomy places the organism in Eukaryota, Metazoa, Arthropoda, Insecta, Lepidoptera, Gelechiidae.